Drosophila montana is the source of this 612-nucleotide long non-coding RNA. RefSeq lists it as uncharacterized. The transcript has 2 exons. The record is from RefSeq and is a predicted model, not a curated record. NCBI's taxonomy places the organism in Eukaryota, Metazoa, Arthropoda, Insecta, Diptera, Drosophilidae.
AGAAAUUGACUUUAAUAUUUUACAAGUCACUGAACCGGUUCGCAGAAGGUUCAAGCUCGUGACUUGAACAAGAUUUGGUACAUAAUCUGAUGGUUUGAUCCUUGAUAUAAGAUCAAUUUAAAAAUUAAAACAUUUUGGGUUAAAAAGUAUAUACUAUAUACAAAGGCUUCAAAAAACAACUGGUUCAGACUAAAAAUGGAGCUAAAUAAAUUAAAUUUAUAGAUUUGAUAACUGAUUAGAAUCAAUAAUAGUUAAUUAAUCUACUUAUUAACCUUUAACUUAAUGCAUGUUCAACUUAAAAGAAGAAGAAAAACUAGACUCUUAAGUAUGAGAACUUACUUGGCUGGCUCGGAAUAUACUUUGGUAUGUGGAAGAUUUGGUUGGAUGGAAGAAAUGAAUUCCAGGUCUCUUAACAUGUAUAUGGACUUAAUUCGGAUUAGUUGACUCAGUUAAUCCAAAGCCGUAGCUCGAGAAAUCUGACAGUUCCAUUUCUGAAAUUUGGAAUGCUUACUCCGGGCUAGCCUUUCUAUAGAUAAACAGUUAAAUCAGGGUAAUAACGUUGCGCAUUCCUGAGAUACAAUCAGAUAUAUUAGUAUUUCGAUGAAAAAGUAA